This 465-nucleotide ribosomal RNA is filed under the name Vreelandella stevensii. Its description in RNAcentral is "partial 16S ribosomal RNA". It matches the Rfam family "Bacterial small subunit ribosomal RNA", at positions 338 to 795 of the family's 1533-position model. Lineage: Bacteria; Pseudomonadati; Pseudomonadota; Gammaproteobacteria; Oceanospirillales; Halomonadaceae. The record is from RNAcentral.
CCUACGUGCUGCAGCAGUGGGGAAUAUUGGACAAUGGGCGAAAGCCUGAUCCAGCCAUGCCGCGUGUGUGAAGAAGGCCUUCGGGUUGUAAAGCACUUUCAGUGGGGAAGAAAGCCUUGGGGCUAAUACCCUCGAGGAAGGACAUCACCCACAGAAGAAGCACCGGCUAACUCCGUGCCAGCAGCCGCGGUAAUACGGAGGGUGCGAGCGUUAAUCGGAAUUACUGGGCGUAAAGCGCGCGUAGGCGGUCUGAUAAGCCGGUUGUGAAAGCCCCGGGCUCAACCUGGGAACGGCAUCCGGAACUGUCAGGCUAGAGUGCAGGAGAGGAAGGUAGAAUUCCCGGUGUAGCGGUGAAAUGCGUAGAGAUCGGGAGGAAUACCAGUGGCGAAGGCGGUCUUCUGGACUGACACUGACGCUGAGGUGCGAAAGCGUGGGUAGCAAACAGGAUUAGAUACCCCAGUAGUC